CAGUAGCCGCGGUAAGACAGAGGAUGCAAGCGUUAUCCGGAAUGAUUGGGCGUAAAGCGUCUGUAGGUGGCUUUUCAAGUCCGCCGUCAAAUCCCAGGGCUCAACCCUGGACAGGCGGUGGAAACUACCAAGCUGGAGUACGGCAGGGGCAGAGGGAAUUUCCGGUGGAGCGGUGAAAUGCGUUGAGAUCGGAAAGAAUACCAACGGCGAAAGCACUCUGCUGGGCCGACACUGACACUGAGAGACGAAAGCUAGGGGAGCAAAUGGGAUUAGAUACCCGCGUAGUCCCUGUCUCUUAUAC
Molecule: ribosomal RNA, 301 nt
Filed under: uncultured bacterium
Lineage: Bacteria
Description: partial 16S ribosomal RNA
Rfam family: Bacterial small subunit ribosomal RNA
Source: RNAcentral